GAUGAACGCUGGCGGCGUGCUUAACACAUGCAAGUCGAACGAUGAAGCCCAGCUUGCUGGGUGGGUUAGUGGCGAACGGGUGAGUAACACGUGAGUAACCUGCCCUUGACUCUGGGAUAAGCCCGGGAAACUGGGUCUAAUACCGGAUAGGAGCGCCUGUCGCAUGACGGGUGUUGGAAAGAUUUUUCGGUCAUGGAUGGACUCGCGGCCUAUCAGCUUGUUGGUGAGGUAAUGGCUCACCGAGGCGACGACGGGUAGCCGGCCUGAGAGGGUGACCGGCCACACUGGGACUGAGACACGGCCCAGACUCCUACGGGAGGCAGCAGUGGGGAAUAUUGCACAAUGGGCGGAAGCCUGAUGCAGCGACGCCGCGUGAGGGAUGACGGCCUUCGGGUUGUAAACCUCUUUCAGUAGGGAAGAAGCGAAAGUGACGUACCUGCAGAGA
This 445-nucleotide ribosomal RNA is filed under the name Micrococcus sp. oral taxon F54. RNAcentral describes it as "bacterial SSU rRNA". It matches the Rfam family "Bacterial small subunit ribosomal RNA", at positions 28 to 487 of the family's 1533-position model. Lineage: Bacteria; Bacillati; Actinomycetota; Actinomycetes; Micrococcales; Micrococcaceae. The record is from RNAcentral.